RNAcentral lists this long non-coding RNA (337 nucleotides) under Bos taurus (domestic cattle). RNAcentral's name for it is "long non-coding RNA NONBTAT004108". The record is from RNAcentral. Lineage: Eukaryota; Metazoa; Chordata; Mammalia; Artiodactyla; Bovidae.
UGACAACGAUUACUCAUUGGAAGUGAGGUUGCAAUUAGAAAGUUUGCAACCAGAACACGAAAGAAAGUAAUACUAAUUAAAGCCAUAUAUACAGAAGAGGGUCUAUUUUACAGUAAUCUGCAAAUCUCCUCAAUAAUACAAAUGCAGCUGAAUUUGACCUUUUGCUGUUUUGGUCACCUGGUUAAAUGAGGUCUACUUUUCACUGUCCUGACAACUUUUAAGAAAAUGAAACAAAAUAUGGAUCUAACAAACGACGCUGAAAGAAGAAAAUUUCACAAACUCUUUGCCUUGUCUGGGAGUGUCUAGGCCAAUGGCCCUAACUUGUUACCUUCUUCAA